Molecule: long non-coding RNA, 3104 nt
Organism: Myotis brandtii (Brandt's bat)
Lineage: Eukaryota; Metazoa; Chordata; Mammalia; Chiroptera; Vespertilionidae
Exons: 6
Source: RefSeq, a predicted model, not a curated record
UCCGGGGAGGGGCCGACUGUGAAGAUCCCGGAGUGCGGAGUCCUCAGCGCGGAGGCUGCUGCCCCUGGCGUUCAGUGCGGCCGCGCGAACUGAGUGGGAACGUCCCCUGGCUCUCAGAAAUGUGGGACAGGAAAACGUUGGGGACCUUUGCACUGUGCCGGGGACAGGGUAAAGGAAGACCUAGGUCCGACCCCGCCUCCCUAGGCAGUGCCUCGCUUUAUGAAAUAGCUGGAGUCUGACACUUUCAAAGCUUGCACCGAACUCAUCCUCCCCAGCGCCCACGCUCCCCUCUUCCUGCAAUACAUGCACCAGCAGCCGAGACCUUGCUCUAUUGCAGUUCAUGAAACUACUUGCCAUGCAUGUCAACUUGUCAUCCAGAAACUCUCAGGAGGUAGAGAUCACUUAACACAGUUUUAGGUGGAGCAGUGGCUUGUGGAGUGGCAAAGUUUGGGACUCACUCACUUAACUGAAGAUACCCCAGCCUAGAAGAAGGACCAGUAGAAAAGGCAAUGCCUCAAAGGUGAUACCUGCAUCAGUAAUGUCCACCCUUCUGGUACAGGGAGUUUUGAAAAAAUCCUGUCAUGAGAGAAUGUCCAUAAGGCAGACCUGCCAUGAUCAAAGAUAGUCUUCCUCCUGGUUCAAGAUGGCACAGUCCUAGGUGUCACAUGGAAAUACAACCACAUCCAAUAGCAGAAGAGGACUGUCUCUUGACAAAAGGCCUCACUCAGCAGAGGAUCUCCAUCUGAAGAGCUUCUCUCCAGGAGUACCCUGGCCUCCCAAGAUGCUGACAGCAGUUUCCUGACUUAGCUGAUUCAGCCCUGGUCGGCCUGCUCUUGGAGGAUGCUUCAUCCUGUCAGCUUCCUGGUGAUAACCGGCCUUAGCCCGCCAUGCCUGUCUAUUCCUGUGCCCUUUCUUAUGGAAUUUCUGCCCAUCCAAAACUGAGCAGUUGUGGAAGUAAGUCUAUGCUAUAAAACCUGGAAGCACCCAGAUCUCUCCUCCAAAUUCAGUGACCCCUGCGUCUAACAGGAAGACAUACACAGAUGCUGAAAACUGGUGUAGUAUCUUUUUCUUAAAGGCAGGCUUGGCUUUGUACUUCUGCAUCUCUGCUCACUUCUACACAGAGAACAAAGGAAUUUUUGUGGAGGCAGACACAUCCCACAUUCCUAGUUUACAGAAUUUAUUUUUAACCAGAGCUACAUUUAGAAAUAUAUGAGCAACUAUACUAGUAAUAAUAGGCAGAAGAAGAGAAGGCGUGUGUGUGGAUUCAUCUUUCUAGGUAGGUAUGGCUCCAGUUAAUAUUUAAAAUGGUCUCGAAUUCUCUGAGCACACACUAUCUGAUGGGGGAGGUUGUGACGAGAGAGACAGGUGGUGGUGGGGAAGCUGACCUAGGAUUAAAAAUUAAUUAUACUCAAUUUGGAAAUCAGAUCAUUGUAGGCAGAUGGAUGUGGAGUUUAAUAUGAUUUUGUAUUUAACUUUUUUGAGGAGAUUUAAAGUCUUAUGCACCAACUAGGCAAUUUAUGAACUCACAUUUCAGCUUUAAUUCUACCUCAUCACAAGUAGAAUUAUAGGGCUGGAAAAACUCCACCAAUCGUUCUCCCUUGGAAAGAACCACACCCGGAGCCAGCCAAGGCAACAGGGAUCCCUAACACAUUUUUUUUGAGACUUCUAAUUUAAGGUAUUCUACAGCCAGUCUCCCUCGGGAGCAAAUUCUGGUGUUCUACUUUUCCAUUCUGUUAGCCUCUGCUGUGUUUCCUCUUCCCCUGCUCCAGGCAGCUGGAUAGACCAAGAAACCUUUACCUCUACCUUCAUCAGCUUCAGCCUCAGCUUUAGCAUCUUCAGGGGCCUGCUUUGCUGUUCCAUGGGCUGUGAAGUGAGGCAUGCUGGACCAGGGCACAGCCCUGGGCCAAAAGGGAAGGAGAAUAAACAGGGAGGGUCCUGCCCACUUAGGGUAUAGGAUUUGGGCCAGAAGGAACUAAUGUGAUUCUAGAGGCUGGCCCACAACAGAACUUGAUCGAUUCAAGAUACAGUGCCCAAAGGGAAAAGAAAGCCUGGGCAAAUGACGGUCCUAGAGUGUCCUGUUUGGUUGGUGGUGUAAGGUAGGGAGAGAUUCUGGGCAGCAGCAAGCAUGCAGGAAUUGGAUCCAGCAGAGAUGUGGUUCUGGAAGAGCUGAACAUUCGUGGAGGUAUCGGCAAAUGGAUGAGGGCAUAAAGAAGAGUUCUCUUUCUUUCAGGGAAAGAUACUGGCAAGCAGGCAAGGGUUUCAGGGCCCGAAUAAGCAGUCCAGGGAUCAGAAUAAUACUCAAGUUCUGGAGGGAAGGUGGGCUUCCUUCUAGUGGUCAUUGCUGAUGCGGCUCUCCUCAUUCUGCCCACUCUAUCAGGGUACCUUAUUACAUCUUUGGAGUCAAUGACCACCUUGGUGAUUUCCUACUUUAAAUCUAGUCCAGACCUUUCCUGGACUCCAGGCCUUCAUCUCCAGCUGCCCACUGGACCCCUUAACAUAACAUGUUCAAAGAAACUCACAGCUUCCCCCAACCUGCUUUUCUUCCUAUGUUCUUUAUUUCAAGGGAAGGAUUCAUUCUUGAUUCUUCCUUGUUCUCACUCACCAUAUUUAGUCUUUCAUAAAACCCAAUCGUAUCUUCCUUCUAAAUAGCUCCUAAUUUUGUCCCCUCCUGUUUCACUGGCAAUAUCUUAGUCCUGGUCACCAUCACAAUUUCACCAGAAUUUGUGCUAUAACCUUUUAACUGUUCUCCUUGCCUCUAGUCAUGCAUGUCCUUUGCCAACUCUUCCUCCUAAAUGUAACUUUGAUUUUUAUCUCUCUUCUACUUAAAAUCUUCACUGCCCCCAGGAUAAAAUGCAGAACUUACCAGCUUAAAGGCUCAUGACCUGCCCUGCCUACCUGUCCACCUCUUACUUCUUCUUCCACAUCCUCCUCCAGCCAUAUUGAACUUCUUAAGGUCCCUGAGGAAGCCUAGAUUUCUCUGGAUGCCACAUCUGUAUAUAUGGGGUUCUUCAUGUGAAUAACUUUUACUCAUCUUUUGGGGUUCAAUUCAAAGUAUCAUCUUCUCUAGGACUCUUCUCUGGGUGAAUGCCCCUCUUACCUGCUCC